Molecule: ribosomal RNA, 492 nt
Filed under: uncultured bacterium
Lineage: Bacteria
Description: partial 16S ribosomal RNA
Rfam family: Bacterial small subunit ribosomal RNA
Source: RNAcentral
AGUGAACGCUGGCGGUAGGCCUAACACAUGCAAGUCGAACGGCAGCACAGUAAGAGCUUGCUCUUACGGGUGGCGAGUGGCGGACGGGUGAGGAAUACAUCGGAAUCUACUUUUUCGUGGGGGAUAACGUAGGGAAACUUACGCUAAUACCGCAUACGACCUACGGGUGAAAGCAGGGGAUCUUCGGACCUUGCGCGAUUGAAUGAGCCGAUGUCGGAUUAGAUAGUUGGCGGGGUAAAGGCCCACCAAGGCGACGAUCCGUAGCUGGUCUGAGAGGAUGAUCAGCCACACGGGAACGGAGACACGGACAAGACGACUGAGGGAGGGAGCAGUGGGGAAUAGUGGACAAUGGGCGCAAGCAUGAUCCAGCCAGACCGCGUGGGUGAAGAAGGCGUUCGGGUUGUAAAGACCUUUUGUUGGGAAAGAAAAGCAGCAGGUUAAGAACAAGCUGUAGUGACGGUACCCAAAGAAGAAGCACCGGCUAACUUCGUG